GACGAACGCUGGCGGCGUGCUUAACACAUGCCAGUCGAACGGAAAGGCCUCUUUCGGGGGGUACUCGAGUGGCGAACGGGUGAGUAACACGUGAGUAACCUGCCCUUGACUUUGGGAUAACUUCAGGAAACUGGGGCUAAUACCGGAUAGGAGCUCCUGCUGCAUGGUGGGGGUUGGAAAGUUUCGGCGGUUGGGGAUGGACUCGCGGCUUAUCAGCUUGUUGGUGGGGUAGUGGCUUACCAAGGCUUUGACGGGUAGCCGGCCUGAGAGGGUGACCGGCCACAGUGGGACUGAGAUACGGCCCAGACUCCUACGGGAGGCAGCAGUGGGGAAUAUUGCACAAUGGGUGGAAGCCGGAUGCAGCAACGCCGUGUGCGGGAGGACGGCCUUCGGGUUGUAAACCGCUUUCGCUCAUGACGAAGCUUUGUGUGACGGUAGUGGGUAAAGAAGCACCGGCUAACUACGUG
This 467-nucleotide ribosomal RNA is filed under the name uncultured bacterium. RNAcentral describes it as "partial 16S ribosomal RNA". It matches the Rfam family "Bacterial small subunit ribosomal RNA", at positions 28 to 507 of the family's 1533-position model. The record is from RNAcentral.